This 207-nucleotide small RNA is filed under the name Vigna angularis var. angularis. Its description in RNAcentral is "Non-protein coding transcript". The record is from RNAcentral. Lineage: Eukaryota; Viridiplantae; Streptophyta; Magnoliopsida; Fabales; Fabaceae.
UUGAACUGUCACCAACUUCAUUUGCUCAGACUCGGAGCAAUCCGAAGAGAAGGAUGAAGAGGAGGAGCAUUUAUGAUAUAGAUGAUGAGACUGGAGAAUUGCCAAAAGAGAUAGUAAUUGACGGAAAAGUCUAUAGAACUGUGGAAACUGGUAGCAGUUCUACGGAAGAAAAUGAAAGGAAAACACCUGAACCUCCUAAGAAGCCGC